AUUGAACGCUGGCGGCAGGCCUAACACAUGCAAGUCGAGCGGAUGAAGGGAGCUUGCUCCUGGAUUCAGCGGCGGACGGGUGAGUAAUGCCUAGGAAUCUGCCUGGUAGUGGGGGAUAACGUCCGGAAACGGGCGCUAAUACCGCAUACGUCCUGAGGGAGAAAGUGGGGGAUCUUCGGACCUCACGCUAUCAGAUGAGCCUAGGUCGGAUUAGCUAGUUGGUGGGGUAAAGGCCUACCAAGGCGACGAUCCGUAACUGGUCUGAGAGGAUGAUCAGUCACACUGGAACUGAGACAAGGUCCAGACUCCUAAGGGAGGCAGCAGUGGGGAAUAUUGGACAAUGGGCGAAAGCCUGAUCAAGCAAUGCCGCGUGUGUGAAGAAGGUCUUCGGAUUGUAAAGCACUUUAAGUUGGGAGGAAGGGCAGUAAGUUAAUACCUGGCUGUUUUGACGUUACCAACAGAAUAAGCACCGGCUAACUUCGUG
RNAcentral lists this ribosomal RNA (484 nucleotides) under uncultured bacterium. Its description in RNAcentral is "partial 16S ribosomal RNA". It matches the Rfam family "Bacterial small subunit ribosomal RNA", at positions 30 to 507 of the family's 1533-position model. The record is from RNAcentral.